RNAcentral lists this transfer RNA (72 nucleotides) under Patescibacteria group bacterium. RNAcentral's name for it is "tRNA-Arg". It matches the Rfam family "tRNA". From Rfam's summary of the family: Transfer RNA (tRNA) molecules are approximately 80 nucleotides in length. Their secondary structure includes four short double-helical elements and three loops (D, anti-codon, and T loops). The record is from RNAcentral. RNAcentral also lists the same sequence under 3 other names.
GUCCCCGUAGUUCAACGGAUAGAACGGGAGCCUUCUAAGCUCUUAAUGUGGGUUCGAUUCCUGCCGGGGACA